Long non-coding RNA from Quercus lobata, 256 nucleotides. RefSeq lists it as uncharacterized. The transcript has 4 exons. NCBI's taxonomy places the organism in Eukaryota, Viridiplantae, Streptophyta, Magnoliopsida, Fagales, Fagaceae. The record is from RefSeq and is a predicted model, not a curated record.
UAGCUGCACUGGAGCCUUAAAAAUGGCUGAAUAUUCAGUUGCAAUUCAUUUCUAGAAUCUACCAUUAAUGGAGGAUUUUCGUAAGGAAUCCCAAGAGCAGAAUCCAGAUGUCAAGUCAAUGCGUGAUAUUGGCAAGGCAUGCGGAGAGGAGUGGAAAACAAUGACAUAUGAGAUCUUGCAGCACUCUAGUAAGGAGGCACUGUGUUAGUUUCAAGCUUAUGGACUGAAAUUCAGGAUUUAGUAAAAAGUUUGUGGU